RNAcentral lists this ribosomal RNA (503 nucleotides) under uncultured bacterium. Its description in RNAcentral is "bacterial SSU rRNA". It matches the Rfam family "Bacterial small subunit ribosomal RNA", at positions 28 to 531 of the family's 1533-position model. The record is from RNAcentral.
GAUGAACGCUAGCGGCAGGCUUAACACAUGCAAGUCGAGGGGUAUAGUUCUUCGGAACUAGAGACCGGCGCACGGGUGCGUAACGCGUAUGCAAUCUACCUUUUGCAGAGGGAUAGCCCAGAGAAAUUUGGAUUAAUACCUCAUAGUAUGUGAGAAUGGCAUCAUUUUCACAUUAAAGUCACAACGGCAAAAGAUGAGCAUGCGUCCCAUUAGCUAGUUGGUAAGGUAACGGCUUACCAAGGCAACGAUGGGUAGGGGUCCUGAGAGGGAGAUCCCCCACACUGGUACUGAGACACGGUCCAGACUCCUACGGGAGGCAGCAGUGGGGAAUUUUGGACAAUGGGCGCAAGCCUGAUCCAGCCAUGCCGCGUGCAGGAUGAAGGCCCUCUGGGUUGUAAACUGCUUUUCUACGGGAAUAAACCCCUUUACGUGUAAAGGGCUGAAGGUACCGUAGGAAUAAGCACCGGCUAACUCCGUGCCAGCAGCCGCGGUAAUACGAGACG